RNAcentral lists this long non-coding RNA (2271 nucleotides) under Triticum aestivum (bread wheat). RNAcentral's name for it is "long non-coding RNA (TAES_LNC016744)". Lineage: Eukaryota; Viridiplantae; Streptophyta; Magnoliopsida; Poales; Poaceae. The record is from RNAcentral.
UCAUAUUAACACUGCUAUUGGGGUCAAUCUCUGUUGUUUACUGCUCUAAUCAAGCUAUUGCUAGGAUUCCAUGUUUCUUACAGACCUACAUUGUAUUAUACUGAUCAUUAGUAAUUCAACCUACAUUGUAUUAUACUGGCCAUUAGUUGAGUGUUGAUUCUCUGAUAAUCUUAAUACAUCCAUGGCUGUUCAGGAAAUAGGGAAAAUGUAUAAACUGGUGAAAUAUCACACAGUAACCUCCUCUUAGAUCCGAGCUAAUAUUAUAUGGGUUCGACCGUGCAUGUCGAUACACAGUGCAUCGGGUUAAUGUGCCUCAAGACAUAUUAAUGAAUUGCACAUGUUGAGUUAAAAAAGUGCGCGUUUGUUUUUUUCUAUUGCGAGACAUUUGACGAAGUUUUGUUUUGACCAUAAUCAAAAUGCUACAGAAAUGCAAGUCAAGGUUUAGUUACAAUAACUUUACUUACUAUUAUUUCCACACUGUUCUCUACAAAGAAAAAUAAAUUACGGAUAAAUUGCAGUGAUAAGCUAUCAAAAAGAUACGUACAUUUACUUAUAUUGCUCAAUAUUCAAUUGAUCGAUUUUUUUAGUUACGAAAGUGCGAUGUUCCAAAACUGAAAAACGAACUAUUGGAGUCACGAAAGUUUUUGGGCUUUUAGUUCCAGUUAUGGUCAUGGAGUGCACACGAUUCACAGAAUAUAAAACUGCAUCAAGCAUUAAUUUUACAUGCGUGAAGCUUUUUACAAUUAAUUUCUACUAUGAAAAGAUCAUUCAUCAGCUAGCUGAACGAACAUACACUGUAUGACAAUGCGAAUAAGCACGCUAAAUAUUACGAGUCAUAGUACUUCCAAGCUAUUUUUACAAAUGCAUUUCACUGGACUAUCUUCUGAUUACCUUUUUCUUAAGCUUCAGAAGGUUAUUUUGGAUUGAAAUGACAAUUUGCAACUUUUCACCUUUUCAAUAAUACCGAGGACCAAAUUUAGAAAAUUCAACGGGUGGUGAGUUCAAUCAGGUGAAAAAUUGUAGGUCGAACAUGAAAGGAUGCACAUUCGUUUUUGAAGAUUGAAAAUAAUGUUUCAUGAAGCAAACUUGAGGUAUGAACCAAGUCUCACUUUUUUUAUUUGUAUAAUUGGUUGAGAUAUGAGAUGCCUUAGGACGUGUGAUAGUGACACUCAUGAUUUCUUGCUGUGCAAAAAAUAUAGUAUACACCAAGAGUUGCAUAAAUCUGUAAAGGGUGACAUACCUGUAGUGCAAGAAAUUAUAAUAAGUAAAUAGCAUUGAAACGAUCUUUGCUUUUUUGGAUGGAAAUAGGUGAGAUCUAUUAAGCAAUAAUAGGGUUAGGAAUGAUGGUUGCUGAUAACUAUACAUUUUUAUGAAGAGUCAUCUACCUGGAUGUCAUCCAUCUAACACGAAUAAUUGAAUUCUUAUUGUACAUAAAUGAUGAUUUUUAGUUCUCCUUUCUAGAGUCUCUUUUGCAUCAUGGUAUAUCUGUUAUCAAGAAUGAUGCUCGAAAAAUUCUUCUUUCCAUGCCAAAUAACAUUUUGUUUCGACUCGAUAACACCAGGUAACAUGGUGGAUGUCGUAACACGCAACAGUUAAACUGUAGCGACAUAGAGAUAGGAAUGGGCAAAUCAUCUUAGCUAUAGUGUAUGUACAAAAGAGCAUUGAUUAAUGAUGCUGAGAGCUAGCUCUUACCGCAUUAUCAUCUAUCUCUAUAACUUUCAAGGACCAGUAAUUGUAUGAUUGUAUCAUGUGAUUGGUACUACAAAAUUGACAAUCUUUGUGUAUUAAUAUCUUAAUUUCAAGAUGAGUUGGAGAAGGGAGUCUGCUCUAUGUUUUCUAAUCGGUCACAGUCAAUGUGUAUUUCUGGUAUUAAUGUACAGUUAUUAAGAAAGUUUUCUUUUACAGAUAUUCUGCUAAUGAUAGGAAACGUGGUGAAAACUGCUCUGGCUGGAGUUGUAUGCUUUGUGAAUGAAGACUAGAUACUGGUGUCACGGUGACUUGCAGCCACUCCUGAUGGUCCUACCACCCAGCUUUUGCUCUCUCGAUUUUUUUUAUUUUCAUAUUAACACUGCUAUUGGGGUCAAUCUCUGUUGUUUACUGCUCUAAUCAAGCUAUUGCUAGGAUUCCAUGUUUCUUACAGACCUACAUUGUAUUAUACUGAUCAUUAGUAAUUCAACCUACAUUGUAUUAUACUGGCCAUUAGUUGAGUGUUGAUUCUCUGAUAAUCUUAAUACAUCCAUGGCUGUUCAGGAAAUAGGGAAAAUGUAUAAA